UUCCUAAUAUGAUUUGUGUAUUAAGGUUUUUUAUUAACAUGAAACUGGUUUUAAAACAAAUUCCAUUAUUACAAAUAUGUGCACUAGGUAUUUUGUAAUCUAUUUUGACUUUAGUGGAAUUUGCUGCAGAUAGAGUUUGUUUAGUUUUAUGAAAGUAUUUACUUGGUAUGAUUCCUUGGUCUAUGCAGUUCAUAUCUGCACCUGAAUCUAACAUGGCUAUAGUUUCUAAUGUAAAAUCUUUUAUUGUCAAAUUUAUUUUUACAUACCAUUUUUGAUAUCUUAUUUUCGUAAUAUCAUUGAAUUUUAACGCUGUUU
This 315-nucleotide long non-coding RNA is filed under the name Manihot esculenta (cassava). RNAcentral's name for it is "long non-coding RNA (MESC_LNC005086)". The record is from RNAcentral. Lineage: Eukaryota; Viridiplantae; Streptophyta; Magnoliopsida; Malpighiales; Euphorbiaceae.